RNAcentral lists this long non-coding RNA (344 nucleotides) under Homo sapiens (human). RNAcentral describes it as "HSALNT0310979". The record is from RNAcentral. Lineage: Eukaryota; Metazoa; Chordata; Mammalia; Primates; Hominidae.
UGAAAGUGCUUGCACUCAUACAUGAGUGCCCUGUGGUAAUUUGGAGAAGAAAAAGGGAGAAGAGGAAAGCAGAAGAUUUCAACACCUUUUUAGCAAAAGAUGUUCACAUAAACCUGAAAUGAAUAUAGCCAAAGAGGACGUGGUCUUUCAGCACCUCCAGCUAAAAAAUGCUGCAGAGGAACUUCCUGUAUUAAGAUGGGGUUUCACCAUGUUCGCCAGGAUGGUCUCGAUCUCCUGACCUCGUGAUCUGUCCACCUCUGCCUCCCAAAGUGCUGAGAUUACAGGUGUGAGCCACCACUCCCAGCCUUUGUCAUCAUUUCAGAUAGGGUGAAGGAAUGGUUUAA